ACUGAGCCACCCAGGCACCUGGAGCAUGAAGCUCUUGACCUCAGGGACAUGAGUUAGAACCCCAUGUUGGGUGUAGGGAUUACUAAAUAAAAACAAAAAACAAAGUAACUCCACUCAGUAAACCGGGAGUUCCAAGUAUAGUAGAGUAGCUUUUCUUUAGCUAAGUUGUGACCAUCUC
This is a long non-coding RNA of Lynx canadensis (Canada lynx), 178 nucleotides long. RefSeq lists it as uncharacterized. Lineage: Eukaryota; Metazoa; Chordata; Mammalia; Carnivora; Felidae. The transcript has 3 exons. The record is from RefSeq and is a predicted model, not a curated record.